RNAcentral lists this ribosomal RNA (785 nucleotides) under uncultured bacterium. RNAcentral describes it as "bacterial SSU rRNA". It matches the Rfam family "Bacterial small subunit ribosomal RNA", at positions 28 to 807 of the family's 1533-position model. The record is from RNAcentral.
GAUGAACGCUAGCUACACGCUUAACACAUGCAAGUCGAGGGGCAGCAUGACCUAGCAAUAGGUUGAUGGCGACCGGCGCACGGGUGAGUAACACGUAUCCAACCUACCGGUUAUUCCGGGAUAGCCUUUCGAAAGAAAGAUUAAUACCGGAUAGUAUAACGAGAAGGCAUCUUCUUGUUAUUAAAGAAUUUCGAUAACCGAUGGGGAUGCCUUCCAUUAGUUUGUUGGCGGGGUAACGGCCCACCAAGACAUCGAUGGAUAGGGGUUCUGAGAGGAAGGUCCCCCACAUUGGAACUGAGACACGGUCCAAACUCCUACGGGAGGCAGCAGUGAGGAAUAUUGGUCAAUGGACGAGAGUCUGAACCAGCCAAGUAGCGUGAAGGAUGACUGCCCUAUGGGUUGUAAACUUCUUUUAUAUGGGAAUAAAGUGAGCCACGUGUGGCUUUUUGUAUGUACCAUACGAAUAAGGAUCGGCUAACUCCGUGCCAGCAGCCGCGGUAAUACGGAGGAUCCGAGCGUUAUCCGGAUUUAUUGGGUUUAAAGGGAGCGUAGGCGGACUAUUAAGUCAGCUGUGAAAGUUUGCGGCUCAACCGUAAAAUUGCAGUUGAUACUGGUCGUCUUGAGUGCAGUAGAGGUAGGCGGAAUUCGUGGUGUAGCGGUGAAAUGCUUAGAUAUCACGAAGAACUCCGAUUGCGAAGGCAGCUUACUGGACUGUAACUGACGCUGAUGCUCGAAAGUGUGGGUAUCAAACAGGAUUAGAUACCCUGGUAGUCCACACAGUAAAC